GAUGAACGCUGGCGGCGUGCCUAAUACAUGCAAGUCGAGCGAACAGACGAGGAGCUUGCUCCUCUGACGUUAGCGGCGGACGGGUGAGUAACACGUGGAUAACCUACCUAUAAGACUGGGAUAACUUCGGGAAACCGGAGCUAAUACCGGAUAAUAUAUUGAACCGCAUGGUUCAAUAGUGAAAGACGGUCUUGCUGUCACUUAUAGAUGGAUCCGCGCCGCAUUAGCUAGUUGGUAAGGUAACGGCUUACCAAGGCAACGAUGCAUAGCCGACCUGAGAGGGUGAUCGGCCACACUGGAACUGAGACACGGUCCAGACUCCUACGGGAGGCAGCAGUAGGGAAUCUUCCGCAAUGGGCGAAAGCCUGACGGAGCAACGCCGCGUGAGUGAUGAAGGUCUUCGGAUCGUAAAACUCUGUUAUUAGGGAAGAACAAAUGUGUAAGUAACUGUGCACGUCUUGACGGUACCUAAUCAGAAAGCCACGGCUAACUACGUG
This 497-nucleotide ribosomal RNA is filed under the name uncultured bacterium. RNAcentral describes it as "partial 16S ribosomal RNA". It matches the Rfam family "Bacterial small subunit ribosomal RNA", at positions 28 to 507 of the family's 1533-position model. The record is from RNAcentral.